Molecule: ribosomal RNA, 535 nt
Filed under: Nostoc sp. HPC-6
Lineage: Bacteria; Bacillati; Cyanobacteriota; Cyanophyceae; Nostocales; Nostocaceae
Description: partial 16S ribosomal RNA
Source: RNAcentral
UCCAGUUUCCACUGCCUUUCGGGGGUUGAGCCCCGGUCUUUGACAGCAGACUGAGUAGCCACCUGCGGACGCUUUACGCCCAAUAAUUCCGGAUAACGCUUGCCUCCUCCGUAUUACCGCGGCUGCUGGCACGGAGUUAGCCGAGGCUUAUUCCUCAGGUACCGUCAGUUUUCUUCCCUGAGAAAAGAGGUUUACAACCCAAGAGCCUUCCUCCCCUCACGCGGUCUUGCUCCGUCAGGCUUUCGCCCAUUGCGGAAAAUUCCCCCACUGCUGCCUCCCGUAGGAGUCUGGGCCGUGUCUCAGUCCCAGUGUGGCUGCUCGUCCUCUCAGACCAGCUACUGAUCGUUGCCUUGGUGAGCUCUUACCUCACCAACUAGCUAAUCAGACGCGAGCUCCUCUAGAGGCGAUAAAUCCUUUCACCUCUCGGCACAUCCGGUAUUAGCCACCGUUUCCAGUGGUUGUCCCCGUCCUCUAGGCAGAUUCUCACGCGUUACUCACCCGUCCGCCACUAGCUCCGAAGAGCCCGUUCGACUUG